This 402-nucleotide ribosomal RNA is filed under the name Bacteroidota bacterium. RNAcentral describes it as "Bacteroidetes bacterium partial 16S ribosomal RNA". It matches the Rfam family "Bacterial small subunit ribosomal RNA", at positions 355 to 776 of the family's 1533-position model. Lineage: Bacteria; Pseudomonadati; Bacteroidota. The record is from RNAcentral.
UGGGGAAUUUUGCACAAUGGGGGAAACCCUGAUGCAGCGACGCCGCGUGAUUUAGAAGGCCUUCGGGUUGUAAAAAUCUUUUGUAUGGGAAGAAAAUGACAGUACCAUACGAAUAUGGACCGGCUAAUUACGUGCCAGCAGCCGCGGUAAUACGUAAGGUCCGAGCGUUGUCCGGAAUCAUUGGGCGUAAAGGGUACGUAGGCGGAUAAGCAAGUUAGAAGUGAAAUCCUAUAGCUCAACUAUAGUAAGCUUUUAAAACUGUUCAUCUUGAGGUAUGGAAGGGAAAGUGGAAUUCCUAGUGUAGCGGUGAAAUGCGCAGAUAUUAGGAGGAAUACCGGUGGCGAAGGCGACUUUCUGGCCAUAAACUGACGCUGAGGUACGAAAGCGUGGGUAGCAAACAGG